Molecule: long non-coding RNA, 1024 nt
Organism: Salvia miltiorrhiza (redroot sage)
Lineage: Eukaryota; Viridiplantae; Streptophyta; Magnoliopsida; Lamiales; Lamiaceae
Exons: 4
Source: RefSeq, a predicted model, not a curated record
AAUCUAUGAAACCGGCGGAUUUCUUAGUAUUUUUAAUUUCUUUCUCCUCCACCAAACCCUACGCGACCUUCUUCUCCUCUGCCGCACAACUCAAGUUCUCCACCUGCAUCACUCCGAUCCAUGCCUCAUUGAAUCGCCGAUUACUCGUCACUGAAGUGAGAUUUCGUGAGUUUGAUAUUUGGCAUCUCACCGACCUCCCCACGCCGCCUACCCUGCUCCUCGCCUCUGUCCCCGCCGACCUCGAGCGACGCUCUACCCCGCAUCCUUAUGUCGUCGCCCCCCUCCCACCCACCCCAGUCGACCUCCAGAACCGUAGUUGGUCGUUGCCGCCUCCUUCUCCUCCGGUCGCGACACCCCGCUUCGGAGCCCUCGAUGCAGGCUAGCGGCUGGCUCUGCCUCGCUCUGCUUUGCUUCUCCCGCAUAACUCUCUUAGUUUUUUUUGUGUGAUUUUUUAAUUUUUUUGCUUAAGGUUUUAUCUGGAAGCAAUUCCAUGAUUUGUGUUAUUUUAUUUUAUUUCAAUUUUAUUGCUAUUGUGGAUUUGUAGGUUUAAGCGAUAUUGGAUGAGGAGCCUGAAGUCGUCACCAAAUAAAAAUCUGCCACUGGAAUUGUUAUCAUAUAAAAAACUUAGCAAAGGAAUCUAGCAGAUAUGUGCUACUUCUGCUCCUAUCUAACACAGAAAAGAAGGAUUUCUUUUAUUCACAAGCUUACUACAGGCCAAGUUAAGAUCAAUUAUAUUAGUUUCUUACAGAAUGGAUAUGGGGUUGGGAGAUCUUCUUACCAAAUAAUGUUGAUGGGUCCCAGGCUAUUCCCCAUGGUUCACUUGUGAAGGAAAUAUGAUCAAUGGUAGCAUGGAAGCAAAGGGGAAAAAAGUUAUUUAAUUGUUGAAAAGUUGAGGCUCGAAGAAUUGCAUUUUUGGAACUUGUUAUUAGAUAUUGACAAAUUGUUGGAUUCAUAGUUGAAACUUGAUGUAAGACAUUCCAGAUGAUUUUAAUGAAUGUUAAUGAGAAUUGAUUGUGUAGCUUGA